RNA transcript from Ananas comosus (pineapple), 4456 nucleotides. It is a transcript of the gene named putative disease resistance protein RGA1, with no coding region annotated. The transcript is spliced from 4 exons. The record is from RefSeq and is a predicted model, not a curated record. Lineage: Eukaryota; Viridiplantae; Streptophyta; Magnoliopsida; Poales; Bromeliaceae.
UCAAGAAGGACGGCUCAGUGACAAAUCAGGGAACAUCAAGCCAAGUCUUUCGUCUUCAGCUUUUAUUAAGAUAAGGAUUCGAAUGGCUAAUAUGAUUUUCAGCGGGCCCAACACGGUGGAAAAACAACGGACUUUGUGAGUGGUUGAGAAGUUACGCAGAAACUCCUCCUACAUUAUUGGCUGUUCAAUACACUAUUAUUGGGUCAUCCCUUUCGGUCUUUGAUUGAUUCUGUUCAUCUUGAUCAUUUGAGGAAGAAGUAGAGAGAGCUAGAGCUACACAGGAAACUAACAUGGCUUUGGCCUUUGUGGCUCAGUCCGCGGCGUCGGUGGUAAUCGAGAAGCUGAUCGGCGCGGCCGUAUCCUUCGUGGGGGAGUGCGGCGCCGGGCUGAGCGCCAUGCAGGACGAGAUCCAGAGGCUUCGUCAGGCUUUUCCACGGAUUCGAGCGAUCUUGACUUUCGUCGAGGAGGGGCAGACUGUCACUACGAAGCAAAACGAGGGUCUGGACGCCUGGCUGUGGCAACUCAGAGAUGCUGUCGAUCAGGCGGAGGAUGUGCUUGAUGAGAUGGAGUACUACGAGCUGGAGAAGGCAGUGAAAGCUGGAGAUAACAAAGUACGACAAGGUACUGAACUCAACUUGAAGAGAAAGUUUACUGAGUUUGCUAACAAUAUCUUUGGAAAUGACGACACUUUGACGAGGUUGAGGGGGGCCGUGAAGGCGUUAGAUCAUGUUGCUGCUGGUAGUGAGCCUUUACUUCACCUUGUUACGCAGCUAUACAAUUCGGAUGUUAAGCGUCAACAGGAAGAUGAGAUACGAAAUGCCCGUGAGACUAGCUCCUUCUUAACUGAGGAUACAAUUUGCGGUCGAGACACGGAGAAGGAAAGGAUAGUUGAAUGGUUAACAAAACCGACAAGCGAUGAGCCGGAGAAUGCUUCUGCAACUGUCGGUGAGGUCUCGGCUUUUGCGAUCGUUGGCAUGGGUGGGUUGGGAAAGACCACUCUCGCGCAGUUCAUCUACCACGAUGAAAAAGUGCGGAAGUGCUUCGACUUGGUUUUGUGGGUGUGUGUUUCCGAUCAAUUUGAUGUGGCUAUGCUGACAAGAAAGAUCUUGGAAGCGGCGAAUGUUCGGGAGAGCCUUGGCGACAAGAGCCUUAAUACAAUUCAAGAGAUUCUUAAAGAAAAGCUGAUCUCCAAGAAGUUUUUUCUUGUACUAGACGAUGUAUGGGCUGAUAAAAAAUUUCUUCAAUGGAAGAGUUUGGUGAGUCCUUUAAAAUUUGGACAACAUGGAAGCAAGAUUCUGUUGACAACUCGAAUGGAUUCAGUGGCGGACACGGUAGCCAGUAUUCUACGAUGUAAAAAAGAGUCUUUAACAUUAACUGGGUUAGAAAAAGUUGAUUUUAUGCGUCUUUUCAAUACGCAUGCAUUUGCUGGAACGAAUAUUGAUGAUCAUGGAAACUUAAAAUUGAUUGGUGAGCAAAUAGCAAAGAAGCUUGGGGGAUGCCCAUUGGCAGCAAAAAUUUUGGGCGGAUGUUUGAACUCUUGCAUGGAUGAAAAAUACUGGACAAGAAUUUUGAAUGAAAAUUUUCUAAAUUUGCAAGAAAGUGAGGACAACAUUAUGAUGAUUCUGAGAUUGAGCUAUCAUCAUCUGCCGACAAGCUUGCAAAUUUGCUUUAGAUACUGCAGUAUAUUUCCUAAGGAUCAUCUGUUUGGAAAGAAUGAGCUUGUCCGUAUGUGGAUAGGUUCUGGGUUAAUCAAGCAACCAAUGCAUGAAAAGCGAAGUUUAGAGGAUAUGGGAGAGGAGUAUUUAAACCAUCUGGCAAGGAAAUCCCUUUUUGAUAUCCAUCUAAGCCCGGGAUUUUAUGUCAUGCAUGAUCUGUUGCAUGAUCUAGCUCAGCUUGUCUCUUCAGGGGAAUGUUUGGGAAUUGAAGAUGAUGGUUCUAGAGAUAUUCCCGAAACAAUCCGCCACUUAUAUGUCACCAGGGAACCUGUCAACAAGGUAAACCCUCUUAUGAUCUCCCAUCUCAAGAACUUACGCACCCUUAUUAUUCAUUUAGCCGACAGUUUCUCUGUAGUAGAUUUUAAUAAGGUUCUAAAAGAUUUAAAAAGCUUACGCUUUCUAGAAGUGACUGCAGCUGACUAUAAGUUUCCAGAUGAAGUUGGUAAACUCAUUCACCUCCGCUACCUCUCCCUCUCUUCAUGGAGUGACAGAGAAAAUGAGAUAUCUAUUCUACCUCAAUCUGCGUGUAGACUCUAUCACCUAGAAGUAAUGCGGCUUCCGGCACUGACAAUAGAUGAUUCGACAUUGGAUGGAAUGAGCAAUCUAGUUCAAUUGAGGCUUCUUUAUUAUGCUAAAAUGGACAAGAUUCCUUGGAUUGGCAAAUUAAUAUCACUUCAGGAGUUAGGCAAUUUCUGUGUCCGUGAGGAGCGCGGCCAUAAGAUAGAUCAAUUAAAAAACCUGCAAAGCCUCCGAAAAUUAGGCAUUACGAGUCUGGAAAAUGUAACGAGUCCCGAAGAGGCUGCAAAUGCCAACUUGAUUGAGAAAAAAAAUCUUGAUGAAUUGUCACUCCGUUGGUCUACGAAUCGCUCUGGUGGUCUAGAGGUAGAUGAGCCACUUCUUGAUAAUUUAAGACCACAUACCAAUCUCAAGGAACUAGAAAUUGAAGGAUAUGCCGGAGUUAGAUCUCCAUGUUGGAUGAUGGAGAAAUCUUCUCUUUCUAAUAUAAGGUCUAUCACACUAUCCAACUGUGAGAGAUGGGAGAACCUCCUACCUUUUGGGCAACUUCCUUUGCUUAAGUUUCUUCGUUUAAAAAGCAUGCAGGCUGUAAAGAAAUUAUGUUGUCCAAGAAGUGUUGGUGGUUGCGCCUUUCCAUCACUAGAGAAGCUAUACUUGAAGAGGAUGCCGGACUUGGAGUUGUUCGAAGGCGAGCACAUGUUCCCUCUGCUUAAUGAAUUGGAAAUAGAUUCUUGUCCUAGCUUAAAGGGUUUGCCUGCUUUGCCUCUUACUCUAAGUCGGCUGGUUAUUGUGGAGGCCGGAUUGACUUCUCUUCCGAUGAUGCAACAAGAUUGCAGUAGCAGCCAAGGACGAGCAUCGUGCUCAUCAUCAUCGCAUCCUGCACUUUUUAAACUAAGCAUUUGUGAGUGCCCAAACCUCACAUCUCUAGAUGGAUUCAUGUUACAACAACAAUGUUUUCCAGCCUUGAAGAGUUUAUACAUUGUUGGAUGUGAAAAUCUAAGGCAUUUGCCGGAAAAAUUCUUCCAAAAACUUCCCUCCCUCGAGGAUUUGACUAUAAAAAAGUGUCCCAAUCUCACGACACACGGGAUUCUAGACGAUCGAUUGCCCGAGACACUUCGACAACUCGCCCUUGUAUCAAACGACGAUUUCGAUUUGCCGCUACUGGAGUCAUUGCCAAAAUCGAACAAUCUACACUCCUUGGAUAUUAGUGGAUGUGCAAGCAUGACGUCCCUUCCUACGUCGGAAGUUUUUCCAAGGUUGUCGAAACUCUGGAUCCGGAACUGUAAAGAGCUGUCGUCAUUGGAUAGGCUACAAGCUCUCCUCCCGCUCCAAUCCUUGUGGAUUGAAGGAUGCGACAAGCUCGUCGAACUUUCACUGUUGCAACCACCAUUAGGCCUCACUAAUACCAGCCCCACAGAUAUGGUGCUUCGUGAUCUUUAUAUCGACCGGCCAGCUCUGUUGCGCGUCGAACCAUUGCGAAACCUCAACAACUCUGUUAGCCAGUUGCGUAUAAGUGAUGGCACCGAACUCACAUCCCUCGACGAGCAAUGGCUGUUGCAAAACCGAAACUCCCUCCGACGCUUAGAUAUUCGUAAGGCCUCGUCUCUUGAAUCCUUACCGCCCAGUAUGAUAGAUCUUCAAUCCCUGCAUGAUUUGGAGAUACACGAUGCUCGUUUGCUGCGAUCGAUUCCAGAACUGCCCACCUCAAUGAAAUAUCUAACAAUUAACGGUUGUUGCUCGGAAUUGAAGGAGUACAUUGAAGGCUCUGGAAAAUUCGCCAAUAUUCGUCGGGUGCAGGUUAUUGAAAAAUCUUCUUAAGAAAAAGAUCGGCUUGGGCUCUGGUCCCCUUCAAAUUACAUUCAAGCCGAACUGAUUGCAGAACAGAAAAUAUGAAAGCAUCGGUGAAUUUCUGCUUUGACAAAGUUCACCUUUUAGAUUUGUUAGCUUGCUUUCUUCUGCAGUUGGCUUUAGCGAGCAAAGCAUGAAGCAGCUCUUUCUGUGCCGAUUCGAGCUAUUUCCACCGUUAUUUGUUCGCGCCUGUUGUUGCUAGCAUAAUAGAUGUACUACUAAAAUAUUAAAAAAGGAAAUGUAGUGGAAGUGAUUUGUAUGUUGUAAUACUACACUGAAAAACCGAAAGAUGUCGACAGUUGCUUCCGAAUGAAGUUGUGCUGUUUUGUUAAUUUAGUCAUUUUGAUUUACAAUAAAUGUAGGACUGAGAUGUUUUC